Molecule: long non-coding RNA, 494 nt
Filed under: Populus trichocarpa (black cottonwood)
Lineage: Eukaryota; Viridiplantae; Streptophyta; Magnoliopsida; Malpighiales; Salicaceae
Description: long non-coding RNA (PTRI_LNC004772)
Source: RNAcentral
UCGCCUAAUUAUAUUUCUAUGGGUGGGUUUGGACAAUUCUUAACUUACGUACACGUUCGAACUUGCUGAAGGUUUAUGAAGGCUUCGCGUUCUUUGGAACCCUCGACACACGUAUAAACUGAUUGGCUGUUGAAUGAUGUCGCUUGUCUACUAGCUAGGAGGGGGUUGAAUCUUCAGUUUUUUUAUUGGUAAAUGUUUUUUCAUGGUUUUCAAGUCAAUUCAAUGCUAUAUAGGUCGAUGCCUUUCCAGUUUAAUGAAGGAAAAAUUGAAAACUCUCCCGUCAUUUUUAAUAUAUUUUUCUAGAAGUGAGACAAAUGUAUGCUUAUUGCCUUACGUCUCGGGAGAUAUUUUGCUGUUAACCUCGAGGGCAGUAAAUUAAGAGGGUGUUUAGUAACGUGGUUAAUCUCACCCGCAGCCACACCAAAUGUCGUUUGAUUAAAAAGAAAAAAUUGUUUUUUUGAUGGUAGGACCCAUCAAAAUGUCAGCCGAACCGC